GGGGAUCUGUGCUACCUGGAUAGGCCUGAUGAGAAGCAGUGCCUAGAGCACGGAAGCAAAAGAUCAGUGAGAAGUGCUAUGAUUACCAACACUACUACCAACAUUAUUAUUUUUUCUUUUAUAUCACAGAUGCAGACAUCAAGUCUUCAGAAACAGGAGCCUUCAGGGUGCCUUCACCAGGGAUGGAAGAGGCAGGCUGCAGCAGAGAGAUGCAGAGUUCUUUCACACGUCGUGACUUAAAUGAAUCUCCCGUCAAGUCUUUUGUUUCCAUUUCAGAAGCCACAGAUUGCUUAGUGGACUUUAAAAAGCAAGUUACUGUCCAGCCAGGUAGUCGGACACGGACCAAAGCUGGCAGAGGAAGAAGGAGAAAAUUCUGAAUUUCUAGGGUCCAAAAGUUGACAAAACCAUUAGUAGGAGGGGUGGGCCAUGUUCAUUAAGCCAUAGUGGUCCCUAGUUCAUUGUUGAG
Molecule: long non-coding RNA, 466 nt
Filed under: Homo sapiens (human)
Lineage: Eukaryota; Metazoa; Chordata; Mammalia; Primates; Hominidae
Description: non-protein coding lnc-HK3-1:2
Source: RNAcentral